GACGAACGCUGGCGGCGUGCUUAACACAUGCAAGUCGAACGGUGAAGCGCCUUCCUUUUUGGUGAGUGUGGAUGAGUGGCGAACGGGUGAGUAACACGUGAGUAACCUGCCCCCUUCUUCUGGAUAACCGCAUGAAAGUGUGGCUAAUACGGGAUAUUCUGGGUCUGUCGCAUGAUGGGUCUGGGAAAGAUAUUGUUUCGGUGGGGGAUGGGCUCGCGGCCUAUCAGCUUGUUGGUGGGGUGAUGGCCUACCAAGGCGGUGACGGGUAGCCGGCCUGAGAGGGUGGACGGUCACACUGGGACUGAGACACGGCCCAGACUCCUACGGGAGGCAGCAGGGGGGAAUAUUGCACAAUGGGCGCAAGCCUGAUGCAGCGACGCCGCGUGAGGGAUGGAGGCCUUCGGGUUGUGAACCUCUUUCGCCAGUGAAGCAGGCCUGCCUCGUUUGUGGGUGGGUUGACGGUAGCUGGAGAAGAAGCGCCGGCUAACUACGUG
This 494-nucleotide ribosomal RNA is filed under the name uncultured bacterium. RNAcentral's name for it is "partial 16S ribosomal RNA". It matches the Rfam family "Bacterial small subunit ribosomal RNA", at positions 28 to 507 of the family's 1533-position model. The record is from RNAcentral.